This 46-nucleotide small RNA is filed under the name Arabidopsis thaliana (thale cress). RNAcentral's name for it is "ATSL247090". The record is from RNAcentral. Lineage: Eukaryota; Viridiplantae; Streptophyta; Magnoliopsida; Brassicales; Brassicaceae.
UUUUCUUUGAAGAUCCGAAAGCGUUUUCUACUUUUGUUUUUGAUUU